AGUACGUGAACUGCUUAGAGGUUAAGCCAGAUGAACCUGAAUAUCUAUUAUAGAAAAUUCAUCGCCAAUAUUAUAAUAUUAUAUUUUUAAAUACAUAAAAAAAAAAUGUAUAUAUAUAUUAUAGAAAUGGUGUGCAUUUUUUCUAUAUAAGGACAUUGUAAUUGGUUAAUAAAAAUAAAAACCUAUCAAAAGAUUCAUUUAAAGAGUUUAUUUUAAUUUAUAAAUUUCUUUGAAAUUUUAUAAUUAAAUAAAUUUAAUUGAAUUUGAUAGAAUAUUAACCAAUUUGAUAAUUAAUAAUGUAUUAAAUUUCUUAUGAAAUUUUAUAAUAAGUAAAUAAAUAAGUUCUUGCAGGUUUAUUUAUUUAUUUUAUAAUAUACAUUUUUAUGAUUUACAAUGCUAAUAAAAUUCAGGAUACCUUCUGGACCCGUCUUGAAACACGGACCAAGGAGUCUAACAUAUGUGCAAGUCGUUGAGUUAUCGAAUUAUGAAUACUCAAAGGCAUAAUUAACUUAACUGUUAUAUUUAAUUGGGAUUAUUUUAUAUAUAUUAUUAUAAAUUAUAAAUUCAAUCCCAGGGCGUUUUAUAUAGUUAUGUAUAUUAAUAUUUUAUAUUAUUUAUACCUCUAACUA
Molecule: ribosomal RNA, 629 nt
Filed under: Schizoceratomyia flavipes
Lineage: Eukaryota; Metazoa; Arthropoda; Insecta; Diptera; Syrphidae
Description: eukaryotic LSU rRNA
Source: RNAcentral